This 148-nucleotide small RNA is filed under the name Macaca fascicularis (crab-eating macaque). RNAcentral's name for it is "Metazoan signal recognition particle RNA (ENSMFAG00000060222.1)". It matches the Rfam family "Metazoan signal recognition particle RNA". From Rfam's summary of the family: The signal recognition particle (SRP) is a universally conserved ribonucleoprotein. It is involved in the co-translational targeting of proteins to membranes. The record is from Rfam by way of RNAcentral. Lineage: Eukaryota; Metazoa; Chordata; Mammalia; Primates; Cercopithecidae.
GCCAGGCGUGGUGGUGUGCACCUGUAAUCCCAGCUACUCGGGAGGCUGAGGCGGGAGAGUUGCUUGAGCCUGGGAGGUCGAGGCUGCAGUGAGCCAUGAUCACGCCACUGCACUCCAGCCUGGGCAAUGGAGCAAUAUCCUGUCUCAA